This 253-nucleotide ribosomal RNA is filed under the name uncultured bacterium. RNAcentral's name for it is "partial 16S ribosomal RNA". It matches the Rfam family "Bacterial small subunit ribosomal RNA", at positions 524 to 776 of the family's 1533-position model. The record is from RNAcentral.
UACGUAGGUGGCAAGCGUUGUCCGGAAUUAUUGGGCGUAAAGCGCGCGCAGGCGGUCUCUUAAGUCUGAUGUGAAAUCCCGUGGCUUAACCACGGGCGGUCAUUGGAAACUGGGGGACUUGAGUGCAGAAGAGAAGAGCGGAAUUCCACGUGUAGCGGUGAAAUGCGUAGAGAUGUGGAGGAACACCGGUGGUGUAGACGGCUCUCUGGACCGUAACUGACGCUGAGACACGAAAGCGUGGGUAGCAAACAGG